ACACGUAGAGGGCGAGCGUUGUCCGGAAUUAUUGGGCGUAAAGGGCGCGUAGGUGGUUUUGUGUGUCCAAUGUGAAAGGCGUCGGCUUAACCGGCGAAUUGCGUUGGAAACUACAGAACUUGAGUGCAGGAGAGGGGAGUGGAAUUUCUGGUGUAGCGGUGAAAUGCGUAGAUACCAGGAGGAACACCGGUGGCGAAGGCGGCUCCCUGGACUGAAACUGACACUGGGGCGCGAAAGCGUGGGUAGCGAACGGGAUUAGAUACCCCGGUAGUCCACGCCGUAAACGAUGGGUACUAGGUGUUGGGGGUUCGACCCCCCCGGUGCCGCAGUUAACGCAUUAAGUACCCCGCCUGGGGAGUACGGCCGCAAGGUUGAA
RNAcentral lists this ribosomal RNA (376 nucleotides) under uncultured bacterium. Its description in RNAcentral is "bacterial SSU rRNA". It matches the Rfam family "Bacterial small subunit ribosomal RNA", at positions 523 to 898 of the family's 1533-position model. The record is from RNAcentral.